UACAGAGGGUGCGAGCGUUACUCGGAAUUACUGGGCGUAAAGCGCGCGUAGGCGGCUUUGCAAGUCGGGUGUGAAAUCCCCGGGCUCAACCUGGGAACUGCAUUUGUGACUGCAUCGCUAGAGUACGGCAGAGGGGGAUGGAAUUCCGCGUGUAGCAGUGAAAUGCGUAGAUAUGCGGAGGAACACCGAUGGCGAAGGCAAUCCCCUGGGCCUGUACUGACGCUCAUGCACGAAAGCGUGGGGAGCAAACAGG
RNAcentral lists this ribosomal RNA (253 nucleotides) under uncultured bacterium. RNAcentral describes it as "partial 16S ribosomal RNA". It matches the Rfam family "Bacterial small subunit ribosomal RNA", at positions 524 to 776 of the family's 1533-position model. The record is from RNAcentral.